UACGGAGGGUGCAAGCGUUAUCCGGAUUUACUGGGUUUAAAGGGUGCGUAGGCGGGCCUUUAAGUCAGUGGUGAAAUCUCCCCGCUCAACGGGGAAAUUGCCAUUGAUACUAUUGGCCUUGAAUUUAGUUGAGGUGGGCGGAAUGUGUCGUGUAGCGGUGAAAUGCUUAGAUAUGACACAGAACACCGAUUGCGAAGGCAGCUCGCUAAACUAAUAUUUACGCUGAGGCACGAAAGCGUGGGGAUCAAACAGG
Molecule: ribosomal RNA, 253 nt
Filed under: uncultured bacterium
Lineage: Bacteria
Description: partial 16S ribosomal RNA
Rfam family: Bacterial small subunit ribosomal RNA
Source: RNAcentral